GACGAACGCUGGCGGCGUGCUUAACACAUGCAAGUCGAACGGAAAGGCCCUGCUUUUGUGGGGUGCUCGAGUGGCGAACGUGUGAGUAACACGUGAGUAACCUGCCCUUGACUUUGGGAUAACUUCAGGACACUGUGGCUAAUACCGGAUAGGAGCUCCUGCUGCAUGUUGGUGGUUGGAUAGUUUCGUCGGUUGGGGAUGGACUCGCGGCUUAUCAGCUUGUUGGUGGGGUAGUGGCUUACCAAGGCUUUGACGGGUAGCCGGCCUGAGUGGGUGACCGGCAACAUUGGGACUGAGAAACGGCCAAGACUCCUACGGGAGGCAGAAGGGGGGAAAAUUGCAAAAUGGGCGGAAGCCGGAUGCAGCAACGCCGCGUGCGGGAUGAGGGCCUUCGGGUUGUAAACCGCUUUCGCCUGGGACGAAGCGUGAGUGACGGUAAUGGGUAAAGAAGCACCGGCUAACUACGUG
Molecule: ribosomal RNA, 468 nt
Filed under: uncultured bacterium
Lineage: Bacteria
Description: partial 16S ribosomal RNA
Rfam family: Bacterial small subunit ribosomal RNA
Source: RNAcentral